GAUCCUGCACCGAUCCCGCUCCCUCCCUCCCUUGCUUCGUGCGUUGAAAACUAAAAAAUAAAAACAGAAAACAGAAACAACCGCACCCACGACCCCGUCUUCUCCCAACCUCCUCGAUCCCGAUCCCCUCCAUCUUGUGAGUCCUGACGCACCCACACGAUCUCCCCUCUCUUCUCCCCACCCGGUCGGGAAGGGAAGCCGUUUCAUCAUCCGCCCCGUCGUCCGGCGCCCGUCGCAUCUCCUACAUGGUCCUCAUGGCCACCUCAGCACCCGUACACCCCGUCACCGUAGAUGGAGAAGCCCACAGAUUCGCUCAGCCGCGGCGGCCCUAUAGGCCGGCACCGCUACGCUGCCACUGUUGCCCCUCCAACGUUGAGAUUGGAUGGCGCUGGGCAAAUGCUUGUUUGCGCUGCCGCUGGCGGAAGAGGUUUUUUUUCAUCCCACUUGAACAAAGAGGAGACGAUUGAGGAGUUUCUGGCCAUCUGGUGCACGCAUCCGCCACAACGGCCCAAGAAGUUGUCUCUAUCUGAGAUCGAUGUAAGCAUCCUCACAUAUGCUUGUCGAUGCCUGAUUUUAGGUCCUGGUGCUGCUUGGUUUGUUUGGAACUACAUCUGUUCGUCCCGGGGGUCAUAUCUUCAAUCUUUGGUCGUUGGUUCAAUUGAGUUGAUUAUGUACAUGGAUAAAUACUUUGGUAGUGUACAGUACAAAACUAUGUGGUUAUCCACCCUCACUGUGAAUCUAUCCUAAUCAUGUUUCUCAAGUCUGAAUUGUUAGUAGACCGGUUGGAGGAUUAGUUGUCCGGCUGCGCAAAGGAGACCAUCAAUUUCUACAAACAAAAAAUAUUCGGCAAGAGGUAAGGUAUACAGUCACGCAUAUUUUUCCUUCACAUACACCCGAUCUCUUUGGCAGCCCGCCAGCACUGGAGGCCAAUCAGGCGAUGUACAAGGAAUAUAACCACAUCAUCAAGUGAUGUACAAGGAAUACGGCCACAUAAUCAGGCGAAGUACAAGGAAUACGGCUACGUAAUCAAGAGAUGAACCUUUAAAUGCUCAUAAUACAGGGAAAAAGGUUGGACCUUCAUCUGGUUGGUGUUCCAGUUUCACGUAAUCAUGAGUUGCACCUUUUAAUGCUCUAUUUCUUCUGUCGCACGUGUUUCUCGUGUGAUUAUUCUUCUGUUGCACGUGUUUCUCGUGUGAUUAUAGCAGGAGUUUUAUCUCAAUAAUGUCAUAUUGUGCAGGUGCCACUUCAAUUAAUUAGUGUGAUGUGCUAGCUAUCGUCUCUUGGGAUGUUUUUGGUCUCAAAGCAAUGACAUUCAUUAGUCAUUACCUUAGAGGGCAUGCUGCCGAAGGCAACAAUGACAACAUGUAGCGGCGAUCCAGGUGACCACAUGGUUAAAUUCUUCAGUUCACCCUCAGAACACCUAUCUAGAUUAGAAAAAUCAUGUGAUAACGUCCUAUCUUAGUUUUUUUUUCUCCAACAGAUCAACAUAUUAUUUAGGACGAACACCUAGACCUCCUACACUAAUGAUGUUAACCAAGGAAAAGUUGUAGCAUGGUGAUCUGUUAAUGCGUGUCAAUCCAGCAAGUGAUAACUAUUAAAUCAAUUUUAUUUCACAACUCCAUGGCAAUACAAGUUGCAUCGGUAAGUUCAGUUUAACGUAAGAAUUUGGUUAAUGGGUUCAUCUCACACAAAAGCUUGCAUGCAUUGGCACAAUGGCACGGUUGGUUUAUUGUUUACAACGUGCAGAUCAAUUUACACUUGAGGUUGAGCUGCCCAUAUGGCAAUAUAGUUCACUAUGAAGAUCACACAUGCCAUGAUUUUUGUAGUGAGAUUUCAGUAAUAUCAUUUCGACUGACAACACACCAUUGCUACUACUUUGCUCUUGCUUUCUGUUGAAUAUCAUCAUGUAUGGUGUUUUUCAGUGGAGAACAACACACCAUUGCUACUACUUGCUCUUGCUUUCUGUCUAAAAUCGUCAUGUAGAAUAGCCUACUCGGUCAUCAGGAUCUAAUGCCGUUAGAUUUUUGCGUGGUUUGGAUUAUCUUCCUUUGUGAAGCCAUGAAGGACUUAACCAGAUAGACCAUCUUUAAAUAUACUUUUGGUAAAUUUAUAUCAAUGUUUAGCAGUUUAGCUCUUACUAUGCAACGUUGGUCAUAAUUUAGAAUGGCUGUCCUGAGUACAUUUGAUUUGAGUAACCAUGUGUAGAACCUAAAUUCGUAACAUGUCACACCUGAACGGUUAAGAUUACCGAGUAGAAAAAGAGAUAAAGGAUUUCCAGGCUUCUAAUAUGGUUUCUAAAUUGAAGGUACGUAUCUUUUGCAUAACACAUAUCUUGAAUCAAUGUUUAAUUAUUUUAAUUCCUUGGAUGCUUAGGUUGGUCCCGUAAUUUUGCAUGCAUGUAAAGUUUGGAUUAUGCAUGGUGUAUAAUAGCCCGUAAUAUGAAUUAUUUUAAGCUAAUAGUUGUCUUAUGUUUGUCGUCUUGAUUUAGAGAAGAAAAAUACAUUUCUCUUGGCAAGCUGUCAUUUGUUUGCAAACUCGGUACGGAAUGAUGAUGGCAAAUAUAUGCAUCAACAGGAAAGCAAACAUGUAUGAGUUUUGAGCUGUGUAAAUAUGAGGAUAAUGAGUAUUCACUUGCGGUUUUAAGUCUGGUGUACAUAUUUAGAACUAAAGAGAGGGAAAGAGAGACCUUCUAACUCAUACUUGAGACUGGAAGUCAUUAAUGCUAGGAAUUUUCUGUACAUUGCCAUAUAUGACGGCAUGUUGUUUUGAUACAUAUAGAUACCUGAGAUGUUUCUGUGUGAAGUUGGAGCUAUUAAUCUAAGCUUUUAUUUUUGUACCACUUCAUUCCUUACUCUUUUCAUCAAGCUAUAAUAAAUCAUGGUGAUGUACCCAUCAUCUUCCCGUGGAGUAUCAUCGGUAUAAAAAAUACAGCUCAGGAAAUUGAAGUGGCAAAUUCAUAGAGCUAAGCUAAUAGGGUAAAUUUAAAGCCCAAAAUUCAUAGGGUUAUUAGUAUGUUUUUUCUAAGCUAUCUUUUAGACUUUUGCUUGAUAUUCCGUAGCAUGGUAUAUGUUCUGUUUACAUUAUAAAUUUGUUCCAGCCCCCUCACCCACCCAAGAAUUGUUGAUGUGAAGUGUGAGGAAAAAUUGUUGCACAUUAGUUCACAUUUGUUAAGUGUUGGUUGCAGCAUGUUGUGAUUGUUAUAUAUGUCCUCCUUGAUUAUCUUUUUUUAUGUUUCCUGAUUGUUUAUACUAAUGUGUGCCCUAUAUGUGUAGCCCCUUUUUGUAGGAAACAACAAUACACGCAAGCCGGAGGCACAAAUGAAGACCAACUGGAAAGAGAAGUAGCCAAUGAUGAGGAAGAUCACCCUCACGCUUUAUCUUGUCAUUUGGGUGGGACUUUGGUGUGGAGAAACAAACAUGGUGAUCGCUAUGGAUGGAAAAAGACAUCGGAGUUUGUGAACGAGUUUUCAAAAUUUGAAGGAAAGAGAAAUUAUUUCAAUGCAUGGUAGGAAACUUCAAUCUAUGUUUGUAAAUAAAUAAGCUAAGUAUGCACUUAGAUAAAAAGAGAAGGAAGAAUAACUUCUGUCUUUUUAUUAGUGGGGUAUAUGAGAAAUAAGAUGCGUGUCAAGAAAAAAUAAAACCAAUAGAGA
Molecule: ribosomal RNA, 3649 nt
Filed under: Triticum aestivum (bread wheat)
Lineage: Eukaryota; Viridiplantae; Streptophyta; Magnoliopsida; Poales; Poaceae
Description: partial small subunit ribosomal RNA
Source: RNAcentral